UGGGCCUUUAAUAGAUGUAGCCGCAGUUCCUUCAGAACUCACUUGCGAACAUUUGAUGAAUAAGCCAGAAAAUCUUGAGCCAUGGAUUCUUCUGAACCUUGCACUAGGCUUUCUGUACUUGGAGAACCUGGAAAGAUGUCACUCGGGACAGGUGCCUCAAAAGGGGUACAUGUGUUCCUCAAGAAGUCGUCCUGCCUUUUCUGCCUCCACACCAAUAACCAGGGGCAGGACUCAGGACUCAGGAUAGUCCAAACAGAGAAAUACUUGCCCUGUUCUGGGAGGAAAUAAAGCAUAUAACCUCGAAUUGUAAAAUGCAUACCAGUAAGAAUUGCAAAAAAGUAUGGUGGAGUAGAACUUGAGGGUGAUGAAUGGACGGCAGAGGUGGUAUAUUCAAUAGCAUCGGAGUACUCUCCUGUGACGCAGGAUUUAAAGUUUUGAAUGAACCUGUGGCUAUUUACCAGACUAACUCAACACUGGAAAAAGACAUUUCCAGCUGACAUGGUUAUUGAGAGACUCAAAACACUCGCCUAGUACCCUAUCCAGAGUGGAGGCUAGUGGAGGAGAAGGGUAAAAUGGAAGCCUCAUUUAAGUUGAUCUCACAUUGAUCCAUGGACCUGUGAGGCACAGGAUUCUAGAUGAUGCUGUAACACCUCCAUUGGUACUAUUGAUAUUGGAGGCCUUAUCUUACUCACCUCUUCAUUCUGAACACAUCUGACAAUUAGCUCUUCAGAGUUCUCAGUUGAGCCUGUUUUUAAAUUGGAUGUGGAAAGUGUAAGUGGAAAAUUGGAUAUGUAAGAGAAAGAGACUGAAGAAUUAAAAUCAACCUGCUCGUAAGUAUAGCUUAUCUUUUCCUAAAAGGUGCCUUACGUUGUUGUGGCAGAAGGUAAUCAUUAUACUGUCUUGGUUCUAUUGUAUGUGGAAAAUAUUUGCAUGAAGUCAUUGUCUAGAAGUAACACCUGGGAGUAUGCAAUUGAUUUUGAUUUUGGUACGUAUCACCCAAUUUAAUGUAUGCUUCUAUGGCACAUUACUUUUCCAAUGGGAAGUGACUAGUUAAAUGUUGAGCAAGAAUCCUCAUGGAGAGCAGUAGAAAUAUCUAAUGAAUAGAAAUAUCUAAUGAUUUGUGCAGAAACGAAUGAACAUAGCAGGACUGCUAUCCUUAGAAAAGCCUGUUUGCAAGGCUGCUCCUUGGCUAAGGAUAUACAGAGGGCUUCCAAAGCCUUAAUUCAUGAACGUGCUCACUCUACCUAAAUAGUUUGUGCAAACAAUAUUAUUUAUGCUGGAAACCUGCUUUCCUUCUGGGAUUCUGGAGUUUGGGUACAUGCUAGGUGAAAACUGCCUAUCUGAUCAGUCCCCAGUACAAAUCCCCGGCACUGGGUUUCUCAUUAGCUUCCCUGAUAAGUAACACUUGUCUCAUUUUCUCACAACUCCUACCUGGGAACUUAAG
Molecule: long non-coding RNA, 1444 nt
Organism: Mustela lutreola (European mink)
Lineage: Eukaryota; Metazoa; Chordata; Mammalia; Carnivora; Mustelidae
Exons: 3
Source: RefSeq, a predicted model, not a curated record